This 501-nucleotide ribosomal RNA is filed under the name uncultured bacterium. RNAcentral describes it as "partial 16S ribosomal RNA". It matches the Rfam family "Bacterial small subunit ribosomal RNA", at positions 29 to 523 of the family's 1533-position model. The record is from RNAcentral.
AUUGAACGCUGGCGGCAUGCCUUACACAUGCAAGUCGAACGGCAGCACGGGUGCUUGCACCUGGUGGCGAGUGGCGAACGGGUGAGUAAUAUAUCGGAACGUACCUUAUUGUGGGGGAUAACGCAGCGAAAGCUGUGCUAAUACCGCAUAAUCCCUAAGGGGGAAAGCGGGGGACCGUAAGGCCUCGCGCAAUUAGAGCGGCCGAUACGGGAUUAGCUAGUUGGUGAGGUAAAGGCUCAACAAGGCAGCGAUCAGUAGCUGGUCUGAGAGGACGAUCAGCCACACUGGGACUGAGACACGGCCCAGACUCAUACGGGAGGCAGCAGUGGGGAAUUUUGGACAAUGGGGGCAACCCUGAUCCAGCAGUGGCGCGUGAGUGAAGAAGGCCGUCGGGUUGUAAAGCUCUGUUGUCAGGGAAGAAACAGCAGCUCUAACACAGUUUGCGAAUGACGGUACCUGAAGAAUAAGCACCGGCUAACUACGUGCCAGCCGCCGCCGUAA